AGCNCUACCAUGUGACCAUACCAAACUGUUGCCUCGGCGGGGUCACGCCCCGGGUGCGUCGCAGCCCCGGAACCAGGCGCCCGCCGGAGGGACCAACCAAACUCUUUCUGUAGUCCCCUCGCGGACGUUAUUUCUUACAGCUCUGAGCAAAAAUUCAAAAUGAAUCAAAACUUUCAACAACGGAUCUCUUGGUUCUGGCAUCGAUGAAGAACGCAGCGAAAUGCGAUAAGUAAUGUGAAUUGCAGAAUUCAGUGAAUCAUCGAAUCUUUGAACGCACAUUGCGCCCGCCAGUAUUCUGGCGGGCAUGCCUGUCCGAGCGUCAUUUCAACCCUCGAACCCCUCCGGGGGUCCGGCGUUGGGGAUCGGGAACCCCUAAGACGGGAUCCCGGCCCCGAAAUACAGUGGCGGUCUCGCCGCAGCCUCUCAUGCGCAGUAGUUUGCACAACUCGCACCGGGAGCGCGGCGCGUCCACGUCCGUAAAACACCCAACUUCUGAAAUGUUGACCUCGGAUCAGGUAGGAAUACCCGCUGAACUUAAGCAUAUCAAUAAG
Molecule: ribosomal RNA, 551 nt
Filed under: Trichoderma sp. AH-Group-9
Lineage: Eukaryota; Fungi; Ascomycota; Sordariomycetes; Hypocreales; Hypocreaceae
Description: eukaryotic LSU rRNA
Rfam family: 5.8S ribosomal RNA (bases 169-322)
Source: RNAcentral